This 209-nucleotide long non-coding RNA is filed under the name Mytilus galloprovincialis (Mediterranean mussel). Lineage: Eukaryota; Metazoa; Mollusca; Bivalvia; Mytilida; Mytilidae. The record is from RNAcentral.
UGCGUGCAUUUUGCAGUAUUGGUUUUGUAUUAAUUUUGUGAUUCUACAAGACUGUCAUGUCUGCAGUGGCUGUAAUGCAGUAAAUCAUCAGUAAAUGGAGAUAUUUGACGGUAUUAUAGAUAUAUAAUCGGGUUUCCAAGGGAAUAAUAUAUAUUAAGUCGCACACAAUUGUGUCAACUUACAUUUUUCCAUGGAAGCAAUCAGUUUUU